RNAcentral lists this ribosomal RNA (347 nucleotides) under uncultured bacterium. Its description in RNAcentral is "partial 16S ribosomal RNA". It matches the Rfam family "Bacterial small subunit ribosomal RNA", at positions 338 to 696 of the family's 1533-position model. The record is from RNAcentral.
CCUACGGGAGACAGCAGUCGAGAAUCAUUCACAAUGGGGGAAACCCUGAUGGUGCGACGCCGCGUGGGGGAAUGAAGGUCUUCGGAUUGUAACCCCCUGUCAUGUGGGCGCAAAUUAAAAAGAUAGUACCACAAGAGGAAGCGACGGCUAACUCUGUGCCAGCAGCCGCGGUAAUACAGAGGUCUCAAGCGUUGGUCGGAAUCACUGGGCGUAAAGCGUGCGUAGGCUGUUUUGUAAGUCGUGUGUGAAAGGCGCGGGCUCAACCCGCGGACGGCACAUGAUACUGCGAGACUAGAGUGAUGGAGGGGGAACCGGAAUUCUCGGUGUAGCAGUGAAAUGCGUAGAUA